RNAcentral lists this ribosomal RNA (837 nucleotides) under uncultured Moryella sp. RNAcentral's name for it is "bacterial SSU rRNA". It matches the Rfam family "Bacterial small subunit ribosomal RNA", at positions 28 to 915 of the family's 1533-position model. Lineage: Bacteria; Bacillati; Bacillota; Clostridia; Lachnospirales; Lachnospiraceae. The record is from RNAcentral.
GAUGAACGCUGGCGGCGUGCCUAAUACAUGCAAGUAGAACGCUGAAGCUUGGUGCUUGCACCGAGCGGAAGAGUUGCGAACGGGUGAGUAACGCGUAGGUAACCUGCCUCUUAGCGGGGGAUAACUAUUGGAAACGAUAGCUAAUACCGCAUAAAAGUCGACAUUGCAUGAUGUUGACUUGAAAGGUGCAACUGCAUCACUAAGAGAUGGACCUGCGUUGUAUUAGCUAGUUGGUGAGGUAACGGCUCACCAAGGCGACGAUACAUAGCCGACCUGAGAGGGUGAUCGGCCACACUGGGACUGAGACACGGCCCAGACUCCUACGGGAGGCAGCAGUAGGGAAUCUUCGGCAAUGGACGGAAGUCUGACCGAGCAACGCCGCGUGAGUGAAGAAGGUUUUCGGAUCGUAAAGCUCUGUUGUAAGAGAAGAACGAGUGUGAGAGUGGAAAGUUCACACUGUGACGGUAACUUACCAGAAAGGGACGGCUAACUACGUGCCAGCAGCCGCGGUAAUACGUAGGUCCCGAGCGUUAUCCGGAUUUUUGGGCGUAAAGCGAGCGCAGCGGUUAGAUAAGUCUGAAGUUAAGGCUGUGGCUUACCAUAGUACGCUUUGGAAACUGGUUUAACUUGAUGCGAAGGGAGAAUGGAUUCCUGUGUAGCGGUGAAUGCUAGAAUUUGGAGGAAACCGUGGCAAACGCUCUUGGUUUUACCUACCCUAGGCCAAACUGGGGGCAAAAAAGUUAAACCCGGUAUUCAGGGCAAAUCCCAUGGGAUUAGCUUUCCAAUCCUCGGCGGGGGGGAUAUGAAAAAAAUUUUGUUCCUAAAGGGGAAUUAACG